Molecule: long non-coding RNA, 382 nt
Organism: Rhododendron vialii
Lineage: Eukaryota; Viridiplantae; Streptophyta; Magnoliopsida; Ericales; Ericaceae
Exons: 2
Source: RefSeq, a predicted model, not a curated record
ACCGUUAACAGCUAACGCAUUUUUCUUCCAUUAACUACUUACUAACUUAGUUUUCAUUUUUUGGAUGCAUGUACAGGUAACCAAAAGCUGAUUUCUUGAGAAGUGUUUGGAUACUCCAAACUCCCCGAAAACAUCAACUCACGAAUCCGCUUGGCGACGGUUCUUCAAGCUCUCCAACCUCGACGGUGAAGGCGUGCGCGGCUGAUCCAGCUCCGAUCUUCCGGUCCUCAUCUCGCCCAUGCAACGGGAAUAGGUUUACCACUCUAAAUUCCAUGGGCUCACCACCCUCCUGGUUCCGACACGCCAUAGUAUUUUUGUUUUUCUUGUAUUUUCGUACCGAUGGCCCAUUUCCUCCAGCUGAACAACCACACAAAUUACAAUC